GGAGAGAUGGCCGAGCGGCUAAAGGCGCGAUCUUGGAAAGAUCGAUUGGAUUUAAUCGAUCCAACGGGGGUUCAAAUCCCCCUCUCUCCG
Molecule: transfer RNA, 90 nt
Filed under: Oscillatoria sp. FACHB-1406
Lineage: Bacteria; Bacillati; Cyanobacteriota; Cyanophyceae; Oscillatoriales; Oscillatoriaceae
Rfam family: tRNA
About the family: Transfer RNA (tRNA) molecules are approximately 80 nucleotides in length.
Source: Rfam by way of RNAcentral